RNAcentral lists this ribosomal RNA (462 nucleotides) under uncultured bacterium. RNAcentral's name for it is "partial 16S ribosomal RNA". It matches the Rfam family "Bacterial small subunit ribosomal RNA", at positions 28 to 507 of the family's 1533-position model. The record is from RNAcentral.
GACGAACGCUGGCGGCGUGCUUAACACAUGCAAGUCGAGCGGAAAGGCCCUUCGGGGUACUCGAGCGGCGAACGGGUGAGUAACACGUGAGUAACCUGCCCCAGACUUUGGGAUAACCCUCGGAAACGGGGGCUAAUACCGGAUACGACACAGCUUCGCAUGGGGUCUGUGUGGAAAGUUUUUCGGUUUGGUAUGGGCUCGCGGCCUAUCAGCUUGUUGGUGGGGUGAUGGCCUACCAAGGCGACGACGGGUAGCCGGCCUGAGAGGGCGACCGGCCACACUGGGACUGAGACACGGACCAGACUCCUACGGGAGGCAGCAGUGGGGAAUAUUGCACAAUGGGCGGAAGCCUGAUGCAGCGACGCCGCGUGAGGGAUGACGGCCUUCGGGUUGUAAACCUCUUUCAGCAGGGACGAAGCGUAAGUGACGGUACCUGCAGAAGAAGCGCCGGCCAACUACGUG